This is a long non-coding RNA of Lytechinus pictus (painted urchin), 2243 nucleotides long. RefSeq lists it as uncharacterized. The transcript is spliced from 3 exons. Lineage: Eukaryota; Metazoa; Echinodermata; Echinoidea; Temnopleuroida; Toxopneustidae. The record is from RefSeq and is a predicted model, not a curated record.
GAUCUUCGGGCGCUCACCACGAUAACAGCUCUAUUAUUAUCCAUCGUUCAAUCAGUUUUCUCAAAUUACUGUUACUCAUGUAUGAGUAUAAGAACGCACAGCAACUCUACAGCCUAUAAAGUACCUAACAACAUUGAUGAUAGCUGUGAAGAUGAAACUAAUUUAACAGACGUCAUUGAAUGCAACGGAGGAUGUAUGGUUAUGAAUGCGACAUUUAUGUACUCAUAUGACUUGUAUGGUGAGGUGAUGACACAGUUCUUUGUUCGAUCCUGCGGUUACGAUCUCGACCGAUGUCUCGACGAUCAGGAGAUCGACCCGUUACUCAGAGAAUACGAAAAGGACAUCAGUGCCGGCGUCGAAAACGGAACAUUUAUCGGCUUCACAGGCUAUGUCUGUUUCUGCAAAGGAGCAAACUGCAAUACCGGGAAUUCACUUAGCCAAAACCCAGUCCCUCUUGUUGCAUUUAGUGUUUUAGUUCUACUUUGUCAAUUUCUAACUUGAAUGAUGAUAUCGACGUCAAUGGGUACUCAAACAUUGUAUUUUACGUUGAUUAAUGUCGGGUCUUAGGCGCGUAUUCAUAAGUCAGGUUUUAUUCAAACUCUGGUCUAAAUUAUAAUAAUAACAAUAAUAAUAAUAUAGGUAUAUUAACCCAGGGAAGCCACUUCAGUUCUGAAAACUAUUCUCCCAGCGGGCCCUGCUAUUAUCAUUAAAGGGUUAACUAUGGAAAGCCAAUUGUGACAGUAGUCUCUAGGAAAUGAAGUUGAAUUUAUCGGCUCAUUUGGCGUACUAAUCCUUCAAAACAUGUUUUAGAAUAUUAAUGUAAAUAGUUUUCUUACCAUUCAUGCAUAGAUAAAGAACUCGGUAAACAUGAGAAGCGUACAAUGUAAGCAAAAUUUCGUCAUUUUUUCUGGCUUCUCAUAAUUCAGUACUGACUUAGACCAUAAACCUGAUUUUAGAAUACGGGCCUUAGUCACCCGGACGAAACCGACUCCAGUCUGAGUACAUUGAAGUCAUAUUAGCGUAAGAUUUGUUGUGGAAAUGGGAAAUUGAUUAUCAUUUGCUGAUUCCAGACUUUGUUAAACGCAUUGAAAUACCUGAAAUAAAGACACCUCUUUGGGGGAAAGCAGACUUGGUGUAUCAGCGAAAAGUUCCUACUUGACAAAGCUCGGCUAAGCCUCGGGCACCUGUCAUGCCGAGGACAGUGAGACACUUAACUAUAAGGUGAUUAAAAGUGACAUUACACAACAUCUGAUGUCCAUAAAACCCUUGCUCACUUUAUACACUGUUAGAAAAUUUAUUUUUAAAAUAAAAGAAGUUCCUGCAGCAGAGUCUCGAGAACACCUGUAAUCUUACCAGAUUGCGUAUUCUUAUAUUAUAUCAUAUAAAAUUACAGGAAAUUGGUAUUUGAUGUAUGGAACCUUACAAAUUUCCUUAAAUAAAACACCCUUUUCCCCUUUAUAAACAGACCUGUUCUGUUAAAUUGCAGAAAAAUCCUGUUUUAUGAAUUUACAGAAAAAAUGAUUCUGUUAUUACUUUCUGCAAAAUCUUUUUUUUUGGUAAAAUCAGGUUUUAACAGUGUAUAUAAUUGGCUUCCGUAUAUGGUUUCAAAUUCCGCUUGGAAUACGACGCCCAAUACGACUUUACUUUUUUUUUCCAACGAUGUGCAAAUACGGUGUCGGUUUCGUCGGUGUCACUGUAGCCUUACGGACCACACGCUACAGGUCCCUGAAGUUCUUGAGAACACUCAAUACAGUAGAGUUCAGUCUUGUAACGUAUAGUGGCUAUCAUAUAGGCCUAUUAUUUAUGCCUAUAAAUACUGGUCGAGCAGUGACCACAUUAUCAAUUUGUCUAUCCGGCCAUGGUGGUACGCAGCAGGAAGAUUUGGGGGGUAGUUUCCAACCCCCCUUCCCCUCAACAGCCACCCCACUGAAAUUGUUUCUUCCUUUCUUUCCGUUCGAGCUCAUUUAGAUAAACUGGCAUUUAUCUCUAACAUGACUGAAAGGAUUCUGGUUAUCAACAAAAUGAAAAUGUUAGAAUAAAUACGAACAGCAUUUGAUAAAUUUAGGAUCAGCUUAGACGAGAGAAAAAAAAAUGUUGAUAUUCAUGAUUAUUUCAAAAUUGAAAUGAAAUACAUUAAAAAGUUGAAAAUUCAUUAAUGAUUUACUUAAUUUGUUAACUGAAAUUUUGCGACGGUAAUUACGAUUUAUUUUUUCAUAAUUAUUUGCCGAUGAUUCAGGCCACAC